This 226-nucleotide ribosomal RNA is filed under the name uncultured bacterium. RNAcentral describes it as "partial 16S ribosomal RNA". It matches the Rfam family "Bacterial small subunit ribosomal RNA", at positions 118 to 346 of the family's 1533-position model. The record is from RNAcentral.
UGAGCAAUCUGCCCUUCACAUCGGAAUAACCAUUGGAAACGAUGGCUAAUACCGAAUAUGACUUCGGAUCGCACGAUCUGAAGUGGAAAGCUCCGGCGGAGAAGGAUGAGCUCGCGGCCUAUCAGCUUGUUGGUGGGGUGAUGGCCUACCAAGGCGACGACGGGUAGCCGGCCUGAGAGGGUGACCGGCCACACUGGGACUGAGACACGGCCCAGACUCUACGGGA